CUAUAAGUGGUCCUAUUGGCAGAAGUUCCGGAAACAUGGUGAAUGCGUCAGACUCGAGCUCAUAUGUUGAGUUACAAAAGUGGAAAUUUACCGCCAUCAUUGCUCUGCUGUUUCUUUCCAGUAAAUCAAAAAAAAUCUUUUGCGUGGUCAAGUCACCAAUAUGUGCCCAAAAACAGUCUCUAGAGUUCAUUUCAGGCAUCUUUGGUGCAAUUCGAAACAUCUGCAUGCUCAUAGGAGUUCCUGAAGUUGAAUACAAAACAAAGAAAAUAACAGUAGCAUAAAGUAAACUACUACUAUGACAUGCAUCAAAAUUAAAGUUUGCUGGAGGAAAGUAAGGAAUUAAAUGACAUGGAAUCAUACCGUGACUGUCAAUGAUUCCAUCAUCAAUAAGUUUGGGGAUACGAAAUACAAAGGCCACUGAUGCUGCCGAUGAAGGCCAAAAGACAGCCCCCCUGACGUUCAUCUUUUUUGCUACCUCCAUAGACCAACCCGUGUUCCCAUCUGCAAUGAAACAAUCAAUUUUUUCAUCUUCUCUACUGUUGAUCUCUUCUAUGAGCUUCUCCAGCUUCCCCGGCAUAACCUGUAAACAUUUUUCAAUUAGCUUUCCCAAAUCGUUUCUAUCUUCCCAGGGUUCCAUCCCAUCUGGGAUCGAAACCAAACGGAUUUGCUCCGCAAGAUAAUUCUUUCCCUCCAAUGAUUCCACUACCCGCUUGUGAUCAUACUCCGUAUUAACGAAUGUGACUCGGAAGCCAUGUUUUGCCAGACAUUGCGAAAACUCCAGUAAAGGAAUUACAUGGCCCUGUGCUGGAGCAGGCAUCACCAAAACGUGUGGACGGCUCAUUUUCUUUUUUAUUUUUACCUCACUGAUUCGGUUUCUAUCAAUAUAUAAUAUUAUAAUUUGCAACACACGAGUGGUGUUGAUUACGGGGAGGGUUGCAGGUUGGGGCCGGGUUUUCUCAAGAUCAGAUCCAUAUAAUUGAUACUAGAUCCAGUUUUGUGAAUGUUCAUCGAAUUUGAACGGGUUUGGGCCUGGGCCUGACUUGGGCCUUCAAUAAUUUUGUUAAAUAAAUUUUUAAUUAAGCUAUAUGUUAAAAAAAUAUUUAAAUUAAGAUGAUUAUUAUUAUUAAACAAAAAAAAAAUAUUAAUUGCUCCCCUGAAUGGGCCUAGGUCGGUCACCUCUGAGCAAAUAUUUGCAUUUAUUUUUCUUCAUUCCUUUUUCUCUUCUUCUUAUUAUUUAUUAUUGUAAAUUAAAAUUAUUUAUUUUGUAGAUAUUAAUUAUGUUUAUGUAUUGUAAUUUACAUAGAAACUUAAGACUCAUAUUUAUUAAAAAUGAUGUUAAUCCAGAAUGGAUCAAUGGAUUUAACUCUUUCAAUUAAAAAUGAUUUUUUUAAUUUUGUUUUAUUUUUUAAUUUAUAAAUUAAAGAGCCUAGGUUUUUUGCAAAAUCCUUUGACCAGGGCACUCAGAGUGGGUUUUAAAUUUUUUAGCCAUAUCCAUGAUUUUAUGAUGCUAGCUCCAACCUAUACUUUUUUGCAGAUCCUAAUUAAGAGUGAUAUUCUAGCUUAAGAUUUUUAUUUCAAUUCUAUUUGAGUCAAAUGAAAUAAGUAUAAGUUUAAAAAUAUUGAUUUAUUUAAGAAAUAAGUGAAUUUAUUUUGAUUCAUUAAAUAAACGAUUAAAUCUAGGUUUGAGUUCACUUAUUCGAUUAUUCGGUUAAAAUUUAUUUAUUAAUCAAGCCAUAAAUAAAUAGAAUAAUAAAUGACCUUUUUAACAUAAUUACUUUUUUACCAUUAAAAUUCAAAAAUCUUGUUAGAACAUUUUCAAGGUAUACGGUUAGUUUUGUAAUUAUGAAAGAUAAUAAGCCAAACAAGAAAAUGAAAGCAAAGGCAUCAUUACUCAUUAGCCGACCCUAGCUCCACUCUUCAGCACUUGAAUUUGAACACCUGUUUCUUUAUUUCCCAAAUGAAAACGAUCGCCAAACCAAACACUCCCAAAAAAUCAAAUCAAUGGUCUCAUCCAAACUUUUUCGACAAGGUUCACUUCUCUUGUCUAUGGCAAUGACAAGACUUUUUUUUUUUUUUUUUAUUACAUGAGAUUAUUGCUUAAAUUAUAGUUUAAAUUACAACUCAUAUUACAUGAGAGUAUAAUUGAUAUGUACAAUCAUAUAUUUAUACUGAGUCCUGUUGAUAUUAAUGCUGAUAUGACACCGCUCAGAUUUUUAACCCUCUCAAAUAUUCGAGGGAUGUCAAACUCCCAUCCUGGGAGAAAGACUCACUCGAACUCAAACGCUCCAAAAAAAAUAUUUAAAUUAAACCCCUACAAUGCGAUUGCGGAAGCUCGAACCUCUUCCCUCACAAAUGUGAGGGAGGGGUUUUAACCACUUGGGCUUACAUUACAAGACCUUGAAUGGCUACAAUUGGGAUUCUUUUGCUGCUUUUGUCCCCCGCGUGGGAAUUAUUGAUCUCAAUGUUUUGUCGAUUACAAAACAGUGAUUAAGCCUGCUAUUCAGCUUAGAGAUGGCAAAAUUUGGAUUCAAAUUUCGAUGUAACACACAUUUUGAAACUGAAAAAGGUUCAAUAUAGUUACUGCUCCCUGUUGGCAAAUAUGAUAUCAAAGACAGAUACACAAAUAGUCAAAUAUCGACCUGCAUAGGUUAAAAAAAUCAAAAAUGAAAAUGAAGAAUCAUAAAAUUGCAGCAAAUUUAAAUAGCCGUGCAUUCAAUUUCAAAGCAUAAAUGACAUUGAUAUCAAAUCCAAAAUUGAAAGUUUUCCAAAUGCAAAGGACAGAUAAGCCCAAGUGUAAAAGAAAACUAUCAAAUAUCAUUGUAAAUUUAAAUACCCAUCAUACAGAUUUCACCACCUGAAUUUAGGGUAAUUUUUAGAGGCUUCUCUUGAGAUUUGAUGUAUUAACACUUAGAUAGAAAGUAUAACCGUAAUUAUAAAGGCAUCCCCGUCUAUUGUAUUUCCAUUCAAUGACUGUUAGCAGAUCAAUGAAAUGACCAAAAUACACCCUAAAUUUGAAAACACUCUUAUAACAACCACUAGGGUAUUGUUCGUUAAUAGAAUAAAAUAUGUUUUGCUCCUAGUACACGGAUAAAAUAAAAAUAAAUAAAUAAACCAUAACAACCAAAUACAUUACAUACUCAUUAAUUGGAAAAAAAAAUAAAAAAUAUUGGUGAAGAAUUUAACAAUUUCUGAACUUCAAUUAAGAAAAUCAUAUUUGUUUCAAGCAGUUAAAAAAUAAAAAUAGUAUUUCUAUCACAAAACACUCCAUUCUUAACAUUUUUUUUUUCUUAUAGUUCUAUUGAGAUUUACAAAACAACAUAACAUUAGAAAAGAAAAUAUAUAGAUUUAUAGUUGAAGUUACAAACACAAAAAUGUACCAAGUGCAAAAAACAAUUUGAUACAGAACCAACUGAAGAGCUUUUUUGGUUCUUAAGAAUGCUACCAGUUGCACAAUAUUUUGCAGCCAUUUCCUUUGCCUUAAGAAAUUCUUGUCCAACUCUAACUUCAAUCAUUGCCCUUUUCUCUUAUGCUUCUUUGUUUAGUAAAAUCUAUCUUAUUUUUCAUUUUUUAAGCAUAUUCUACCUUCUUCCUUUCUAAUAGUUCCUGUUAAUUACUCAAUAUGUUGAAGAAGAAUCUUAUUAUUUAUAAAUAUGGAAAUUAUCAUUGCACCACUUUUUUUUGCCUUAUAUAUCCAACCACCAUAAAAUUCUAACAUGUUCUCUACACUACAUUUCUUUUUAAAUUUGUAUCAACUAGCCACUUUCUAACUAGCACCGUUAAAUAAUUUAAAUGAAAUGAUAAUUUUACCCCUAAAUAAAUUAAAAGACAUUUUAUCUUAUAAAAGAUUUGAAAAAUAAAAAAUUAUAAUUAUAAAAAUAACCUAAGUUUAAUUAAAAAAUAAAUCCCAAAAUUAGAAUUUUUAUUUUUAAUAAAAAUCUAAAUAAAAAUUAUAAUUAUAAAAAUAAUUGUAAAAUUUUGGGAUUUAAUAAAAAUCCCCUAAAUUAUUAAAAUUUUGGGACUUAUUUUUUAAUAAAUAAAUUCUGUUAUUUUAAUAAAAUUUUGCAAAAUUAUAAUUUUUAAUAAAAAUAAUUAUUAAAAUUUAGCAAAAUUUAAAUUAAAUAAAAAUCAGUUGAGCACCUCUGUUUGGGAUUUAUUUAUUUUAUUAAAUUUAGGGGUAUUUUUAUAAUUAUAAUUUUCUUAUUUUUCAAAGUUUUACAAAUAAUAUGGUCUUUUAAUUUAUUUAGGGGUAAAAUUUUCAUUUCAUUUAAAUUAUUUAACGGUGUUAGUUAAAAAGUGGCUAGUUGAUACAAAUUAAAAAAAAAAAAAGGGGGUGCAGAGAACAUGUUAGAAUUUUUUGAUGGUUGGAUAAACAUAAGGUUGGUGCAGAGAACAUAUUAUAAUUUUAUGAUUGUUGGAUGAACAUAAAGCAAAAGAGAGGUGGUGCAAUGAUAAUUUCCCUUAUAAUAAUGUGAGAUUAACCGAAAGCACACUAAAAUGCCAACCCAAAGGACUUUUAUGGUUGUGGGGAAUUCUUUUAAAAACAAAAGCAAUUAAAAUUGAGCUUAUAUUAUGUGUAAAAAAAAAAAAAGAAGGGUGAAUCGGCAUUAACACAUAAAUAAGUAAUGCAUUUCAGGAUAAUCAAGAGCUCCAUAAGUUUGUUUCUAGGCAAAAAUAUAUUUAAUUAAACAUAUCAUAGCAAAGUCAGUAUUUCAUUUUUAAUCAUCUCAUAACAGAACGAAAUCCUAAGCAAUUAUUAGGAAAGAACUAUAAUGAAUAGUGUUUAAAUGAGAAAUCAAACUCAAAGUUUUAUGAAAUUUAGAUCAAACAUAAGUUUACGGACAAAGACUUAUAGUAUCUGGAUAUUCACAACUAGUGCACACUGAUCAAGUUACAGACAGAUACACAAUAUAUAUAUAUAUAUAUAACAUUUAAAACCCAUUUAAAUCGUAUUUGCGAAUAAACUCACUUAAAUCUUAAAUUGUAAUCACAAAUACGAUUCCAAAAAUUAAUUUCAUUAAAAAAAUCUCAAUUUUUUUUAUUUAAUUUUAUUAUAAAAAUUUGGAAUUAUAUUUGCGAUUACAAACCUAAAACCCACUUUUGUUUAACGUAGAAAUCACAUGAAAAUAAUUGAUUUAUAAUACACAAUGGUUUGUUUAGCUCAUCACUAUUGCAAAUUACACUAAAACACAUGCAACAACUUCUUUAACAACUCAAACACUGCAUUAAAUCCAUUUUCAAACACAACAUCAAAUCAACCAAAAGGCUCUAACUUUAACAUUAUUUGAAAAUUUUCAACUUUUAUGAGGUUUAAUAACUCAUUCGUUCCUUAACUGUCGCCAGCAAUGGCCAACCAACGAUAGCAUUUUCCCGCCGCCAUCACUUCGUUGUUCAUCACUCUUCUUUCAAACUGGGGCUUCUUCGAAUUUGAGCUUCAUUUGGCGAGGUUAGAAGCAUAAAGAGAAAAGUUUGGGCAUGUUUGAGACUUUGAGUGGAUGAGUUGAUCGCUAAUUAGCUUGUGUUUGGAAGAUGAAAGAGAAGAUAUGUCCAAUGCAUCUUUGGAACCAGUGGAUAAUGAAGUGCUCAACGGUCAACUCAUCAUGAGGCUGCUUUUGAUUUUUUCAAAAUUUUAGAUAGUUUUUUUUAUGAAAUUACCCUUAUUCAUUGACAAGAUACUAAAUGAAAUAUAAACGGCAGGGGAGAUAUUUAAUAGUGCGUUCAUACUUUUUAUCUAAGUGUUAAUAUGCUAAAUCUCAAGGAAAAUCCCUAAAAAUUACCUCAUGAAUUUAAAUACCUUUUUACUUGUGCUUUUAUGCUAGUUAACAAGCUGCUAUGUUACCAUUGCAUGUAAUAAGAAUGUUAGUUUAGGUUAAAUUUGGGGUUUUAACACUGUAGAAGUGUCCGAAUAUUGAUGAAAAGUUGCUUGUUUUGAUCUAAUUUCCAUGUGAGUAAGUUGAUUGUUUCAUUCUAAUUUCCAUGUGAUUAAGCUAAAGAAACAAUUGCAAGUUAAAAUUUUUCGGUUUUUAUGUGAUUUUAAUCUUUAAAAAAAUGGGUUUUAGGUUAUUUCCACCAUUCUUGAACCUGUGUUUUGAUGUGAAAAACAAUGUAAAGUUCAAAUUGGUGUUAAAAAUAUUUGUAGGUUAUUUUGAUGUUAAAAAAGAGUUUACAUCUAUAAAUCAAUUUUUGAAUUGCAAUUGAUUAUUCCAUUAUUAAGAUUUCGCAUACGUUUCCUUGAAAUUCAGGGGAACGCACUUUAUUGAAAUUUGAUUGUUAUAUUGGUAAUUUCUAAGUAUGGAUAGAUUUAAAUAAAUGUGUUUCCUUGAAAUUUGAAUCAUUGAAGUGAUCUCUAUAAGGAAUUGUAUGCUUGUUAUAUUUUUCUAUGGUUGGACAGCUGCGAUUUGUAAUUACAUUUUUCUUUAUAAAGGAAUUCCCUUAUGGAGGAUGAUGAGAUGCAAUAGUUUCAUGUUUUGUAAAGUUUCAUCAUGGUAAUAGCGGGUAGGUCUGAUCAAACUUCUAUGUUGUAAGAAAAUUAGAUUCUGAUUAAUUUGAGAUUGAAUGCGUGAGGUGGGGAAUAUUGAAUUUUUGAGGAGGGAUUGUUUUUUAUUUGUGCUUGUUAAGGGUAAAAAUUAUUUUGGCAGUGGUUAGCUUCAUAGUUUGUUGCUAGAAAAAUUAAUAUCGAAUUAAGUUUGAUUCUUAAAACAAGAAAAAGUAGAGUAUGAGAAUUUGAUUCUUACGUUUUAAUAAUAUAUGUGUUAUUACAUUGGUCAUUAAGUUUGGAGGCUAAUUUCUUCUUAUGAAAUAUUAUAUCUUAAUAUUUUGUACUAUUAUGUUAUAUGUGCACAUUAAACUCUUAUUAGUGAGGUGAGUCAUCAUGCUUGAAAUUUUUUGAACUUGGUUUCUCUAUAGAAUUGUAUUGAUUUCCUUUAUAAUCCCCACAUGUUUAGAUCCAAUUUGCCUCAUGAUCUUUUAUUUUAUUACCAUACUGUGUAAGAAGACUUACUUUAAAUUACCUUUCAACUUGGUACUGUGGAUUCUCUUUGUUUUUAUGCUAAAAGCUUUUGUGCUCUACUCGUAGGUGUUUUCAAGUUGGCGUUGUUCCUUGAUACAGCUUGAAGGAUGGUUUUUCUCUCUCAGAUUUUGUCUAUGCUUUCCUGAGAAUGUAGUGAUUUCAUUUCCAUCAAGAUGCAAGUAUACCUAAAAAAAAUUAAGAUUUUAUAAUUUUAAAUAUUAAUUAGUUCUCAUAUAUGUGUGUGUGCGAGCGUGUGUGUCUAUCAUCAGUGCAAUAGCAAUUCCUUCAUUGUGGCUCUGAGUCGUUGUUGAUCUGCUUGAUGUUUUUGAACUUUGUGAAUCCAUGAUUUCAAUUUGAUUGUAAUAUUUAUAACUCUGAAAUUGAAUGUAGAGUUGAGCCAUGAAUAAUAGACAUAAUUUGUGUGUACCUUGGGAGGCAAAUGAAGCAUAUGCGGGGUGUGAGAGAUGGUUUGGAAAUGUAACAUAUUUAUAAACAUUGAUCUACCAAUAUAACCUUUAGUUACCAUAUCUUUUUUUAGAAAAAAAAAAAAUCGGGUUGAUUGGUACUAUGGGUAUUUUGGUCAUUUUAACAGUUCACUAACAGUUAAUGACGGUAGGGGAGGUAAGUGAGAGUACAAAGAAACUCGCUAUUUAAGUGUAAUUACCUCAAACCUCAGGGGAGGUUUCUAAAAAUAACCCCCAAAUAUUGAUAACACAAAUUCUUUAUUAAAGAAAAAUAAAAAAAAAGGGAAUUAUUGAUAGUACCACUAAUUCAAGCUUGAAUCAGUAAUUUUUGUCAAACCUUUGGUUACCAUAUCUUUUUGUUCUUUGGGUCCGGAUAUAUUUUCAAUAGCAUAAUCGGUAAAUCUCUUAGUAUAAUCAUUUUGUAUAUGAAAAUUUUGCAUUUACCCUUAAACAAUAUUUUUUUCUUGUCAAUAUUUUGGGCCAAAUGGUAAAACUAAGAAUGAGAAAUUCAUUCUCCCUUAAUAAAAUUAAAUAUGCAUAAUUGAAUCUUCUACAUUUUACCCCUUUUGUGCAAAGAAUCUUGGAAUCAAUUUGAUCUUUAAUCCAGGUCUUUGUGUAAAUUAAACUCAUGUGCUUUUAAAUAUAGAAUUUUGAUUGAAUGAUCUACUAAGUAAUAAUAGAUGUAGCUAGAAAAAGAAUUUACAUUUUGAUCUCUCAGAGAAUACAAGCAAUGCCCCUUGGGGUUUGUCCCCAACCUUGAUCAUCAUCUUCAUCAUUUUUAGAUGAUUAUGAGAGGAAAAGCAACUGGCUCAAACGUUGUAACAAUGAAGUGUCCAAAUUUCAAGCUGCGAUGGCUUUUCUUGCAGCUCUGAGUAGGCCGUAUAAGCUCCCUUGGCCCUCUCAAUUUUCAUUGCAGCAUCGUGUGCCUCUGGCAUUUCUUCACUCACUUCCUGAUCUUCUACCGAUACCGAUAUUCCUUCAUCACUUAGAACCUCAUGUUUUCUUUCUGCUGCUGCCAUAUUCAAAUAUUAGUACCAAUAAGCCUCGGUUUGUUCAUAUGUAAGAAGGUGUUUCGGUAUCAUUCUUUUUAACUUAUUUGUCUUCUCGCUUUUAUAGCAAUGCUAAUUUUAGCAUCGCACUCUGCUACAACUCAUGCUGAUCAAAAUGUUUCAUAUGAUUUCAAUUUUCCUCGUCCCCUCUUUUGCAUAGCACUGAUCGAAUUCCUAGUAUAGAUUCCUUCAUCUGCAGCAAGGCGUUCUGAGAAGUGCGCAAACAUCCAAGAUCCUCAAAGAUCCAUUCAACAGCUCAUCAACCCUUUUCUUCUUCUGGUGGACGUGGGCUAAAGCUUGUUGAACGGGGGGCAAUUGAAGUAUUUUUUUUCUACAGAAUCUCAUGAAUCUUGAAGGCAGUUCAAUUCAUGGCCUAAUGAUGAAGUAGAAGCAGCUUGAGGAGUCCUUAAUAUUCUCAAAUGCUCUUCAACUUCUGAAGUCUGUGGGUGUGAUCUCGUGGAAAGCUGUUUGGUAAGAGGCAGCCAUCGCUUUUGUUGCUGUGAAUUAGAAGACUAGAAGUUGAUUACCCUGUGCUCAAAUCUCAAAAUGUAUAGCACGAGAUGAGGGAACAACAGGUAUCUCAUCUUCUUAAAAUAAAAAGAAACAAUAACAUGAUUUCAAGCUUGAUCUAAAUAGUAUAUCGGCUACUUUUAGGCUCAGUCUCCUCCCAAACCAGCAUCCUCUCUCAGUUUUUUUAGCCGCUAAUCUCACUAGUAUCUUCUCGUAAGCUAAUACUAAAUAAACAAAUGUUUCCGAGUGAUCCAUAAAAUAAGCAAUACAAGGAUGGCAUCAAUUCUGUUUCCUCUUCUAAAAUGCAAGAGACGGUAAUCCAGUUUGGCUUGCCUCCCCGCGGGAAACGGGGUGGCUGUGAAACUCGUGCGUCCUUGCAGAAUUGAUUUAUUUGAACUGGAUAUAAUAUGCAAAAUCUGCAGUGCAUGGAUGGAGUUGAGGCUGCACCUUGAAUGCAUGGAUGGGUAGUUAAGUCGCCAAAUUAAAACAGGCCCAAAAAGGAUCCGCAGUGUUCAUUGCAGGCAUAUUUGGUGCCAAAUGAAUCACUUGUUUCUUAAGAGAUAUUCAUUGUCUGCUAUGAAAAAAAUUACCAAAAUAGGAAAACAAAUUAAAUUAAAACUCAAUUAAAUAAAAUAAUCCUAAACUCUAUAAACUUAAUAAAAAAACUUAGAAGAUAGAUGUCACAAUGGCCAAGGAAUUCUUAUAUAAUUGUCUAUGAAGGUAGUAUUUUUUGAAUUAGCUGCCCAGUACCUGGGAGCCAUGUGCCAGUGCUUAUGUCUUUACCCAUUGGAGGAAAUUCUGAAAUGUCUUGUAAGAGGAACCACCUUCUCUGACACUACUGAUGGCUUUUUCCUUGAGUUCCAAAGCCCGUGCUUUAAAAUAUUGAUCACCAAGCACUUGAUCCACCUUGUUCUUAAUUUCUUCUCUUGUAAUGAUGCCACUUUCGUCUCUGUCAAACUUCAAUCCCACCUUCCAAAAAUCACAAAUGUAUCUCUCGUUCAGGAAUUGAUCAGCAGAAUAUGGCCAGCACAAGAAAGGAAUGCCAUUGCUGACACCUUCCAUGGUGGAAUUCCAACCACAAUGGCUCAGGAAACAGGCAAUAGAAGGGUGGUUAAGAACCUUCUGCUGAGGUGCCCAGCUGAUCAUCUGUCCUCGAGCAGCAACUCUCUCUUGAAAUCCUUCUGGGUAUCUAUCAUUUGCAUCAGUAGUAAUAUCUGGCCUCACAACCCAUAAAAAUGGUCUGUUGCAAAGUUCUAGUCCCAAUGCUAAUUCUUGAAACUGAACUUGGUCAAGAAUUGUAAGGCUGCCAAAAGCAGCAUAAAUGACAGAGCUUGGUUGCUGUUGGUCUAGCCAUUUCAAACAGUUUGAAUCUUCGCGCCAGAAGUAUCCUGCUGAAUUCCCUUGGCGGUUGCUUGCUAUAAGUGGUCCUAUUGGCAGAAGUUCCGGAAACAUGGUGAAUGCGUCAGACUCGAGCUCAUAUGUUGAGUUACAAAAGUGGAAAUUUACCGCCAUCAUUGCUCUGCUGUUUCUUUCCAGUAAAUCAAAAAAAAUCUUUUGCGUGGUCAAGUCACCAAUAUGUGCCCAAAAACAGUCUCUAGAGUUCAUUUCAGGCAUCUUUGGUGCAAUUCGAAACAUCUGCAUGCUCAUAGGAGUUCCUGAAGUUGAAUACAAAACAAAGAAAAUAACAGUAGCAUAAAGUAAACUACUACUAUGACAUGCAUCAAAAUUAAAGUUUGCUGGAGGAAAGUAAAGAAUUAAAUGACAUGGAAUUAUACCGUGACUGUCAAUGAUUCCAUCAUCAAUAAGUUUGGGGAUACAAAAUACCAAUGCCACUAAUGCUGCUGAUGAAGACCAAAAGACAGCCCCCCUGACGUUCAUCUUUUUUGCUACCUCCAAAGACCAACCCAUGUUCCCAUCUGCAAUGAAACAAUCAAUUUUUUCAUCUUCUCUACUGUUGAUCUCUUCUAUGAGCUUCUCCAGCUUCCCCGGCAUAACCUGUAAAAAAUUUUCAAUUAGCUUUCCGAAAUCGUUUCUAUCUUCCCAGGGUUCCAUCCCAUCUGGGAUCGAAACCAAACGGAUUUGCUCCUCUAGAUAAUUCUUUCCCUGCAAUGAUUCCACUACCCGCUUGUGAUAAUAAUCCGUAUUAACGAAUGUGACUCGGAAGCCAUGUUUUGCCAGACAUUGUGAAAACUCCAGUAAAGGAAUUACAUGGCCUUGUGCUGGACCAGGCAUCACCAAAACGUGUGGGCUGCUCAUUUCCUUUUUUAUUUUUACCUCACUGGUUUGGUUUCUAUCAACCUUGUGCUUUUAUAGGGAUUGUGAGGAGCAGCUCAGCAGCCCAUGUUCGGUUUUCUGUCUUUCUUUUCGUACAAGUAGUAUGUUAUAUGUGUUUAAUUUUGAACCUCAAGCUGGUUAGUGGUUAUCUUCUUAUCUCCCGUUUUUAAGUUCUUUUUGUUCACCCCUUUGUUUUGUUUCCUUCUGCGGUUUGGGUGAUAUGUUUGCUUUUGAACAAACUGCGCCGUUAGAUCCAACGUUUAAAGCAGGAUGCUCGGCUCCAACUUUUCUGGACCCCAAUUUUUAAUGCUCUGUCUACAAUAACUUUUCUGGUUAGUGGUUAUCUUCUUAUCUAUGGUACAGAUUCUGUAACGAACAUCUCCCGUCAUCCCACCAUCCCAUUUUGUAUUGUUUAGUUUCUCACUCCACAUCCAGCCACAUCCAACGGCUGAUGCUGCAGUCUGUAGCUUACAGAUUCUGUAAGCUAGUCAAGUCCUAACUAAAUAAGGUAACUAAAACAAUUUUUCACAUCCUUCCACUAGCAUCUGCUCAAUAUAUAAUAUUUUAAUUUGCAACACACGAGUGGUUUUGAUUACGGGGAGGGUUGGCAAUUUAUAGGUUUGGGCCGGGUUUUCUCAAGAUCAGAUCCAUAUAAUCGAUAUGAGGUUCAGGUCCUGUGAAUGUUCAUCCAACUUGAGCGGGCUUGGGCUUGGGACUUCAAUAAUUUUGUUAAAUAAAUUUUUAAUUAAGUUGUAUGUUAAAAAAAUUUAAAUUAAGAUGAUUAUUAUUAUUAAACAAAAUAAAUAUUAAUUGCUCCCUUGAAUGGGCCUGAACCAGUCACCUCUAAGCAAAUAUUUGUAUUUUUUUUCUUUAUUCCUUUUUCUCUCUUUUUAUUAAUUAUUAUUGUAAAUUAAAAUUAUUUAUUUUUUAGAUAUUAAUUAUGUUUAUGCAUUGUAAUUUACACAGAAGCUUAAGACUCAUGUUUAUUAAAAAUGAUGUUAAUCCAGAAUGGAACGAGAAAUUUAACUCUUUCAAUUAAAAAUGAUUUUUUAAUUUAUAAAUUAAAGAGCCCAAACUUUUUCCAAAAGCCUUUAACCCCGAGUGAGCUUUAAAUUUUUUAGCCAUAUCCAUGAUUUUAUGAUGCUAGGUCCAACCCAUACUUUUUUGCCGACCCUAAUUAUGGGUGAUACUCUAGCUUAGGAUUUUUAUUUCAAUUCUAUUCGAAUCAAAUUAAAUAUGUAAAGGAAUGAAAUUAUUAAUUUAUUUAAUAAAUAAGCAAAUUUAUUUUGAUUCAUUAAAUAAACGAUCAAACCUAGGUUUGAGUUCACUAAUUCAAUUAUUCGUUUAAAAUUUGUUUACUAAUCAGGUCAUAAAUGAAUAGAAUAAUAAAUGACAUUUUUAACAUAAUUACUUGUUUUCCAUUAAAAUUCAAAAAUCUUGUUAAUACAUUUUCAAAGUAAAUUAGUUUUGUAAUUAUGAAAAGAUAAUAAGCCAAAAAAGAAAAUGAAAGCAAAGGCAUCAUUACUCAUUAGCCGACCCUAGCUCCACUCCUAGUUUACUUAUAUAGGAUAACGGAUUUGACUAAUUGUGAAAGUUCACUUGCAUUACUUAAGCAAUUUCUUCAUGAGCAUGUUCCUUUAUAAUAAUGCUAGUAUCUAAACCAGGCACUGGGGAUCCCUUCUCACUCGCUUCAUGCAAAUGCCCAGCAACCAUGUCUCCACCAACAUCACUGAUGUCCCCAAAAAUCAAAAUAAGAAUCCCGAUCGUGGCAGCCAAAAAUGAAACCCCAAAAGCAGUGCUCACAUUUCCACUGAUCGCUGAUGCCACAGCAAAGCCAGUACAAGUUCCUAGUGCUUUUACCCACGAGUGCCAUACAGAAAAAGCACCUUCUUUGCCAUGUGAUGUACAAUCUAGCAACAAAACUCUCCCAAAAGCAUGCAAAAGCCCUGCAGAAGUGCUUUGAAUUGCAGCAAAAAGCAGUACAUGGUGCCUCUGCCAGUUCUUUCCUUGGAGUAGAAUCCCGUACCUGAAGUCAACAGAGCUAAGAGGAAACCCAGAAAUUGCAUUCUCACAGCAUCUGCUUUGAUAACAUGUUGUAACGGAUGCAGUAGUGUCGUUGAAGAUGAUGGUAAUAUGAAGUAAAUUAUCCAUAAGUAGAGGAAAAGUAAAAAAAUAGCCCCAGUGAAAAUGCACAUUGAUGAAAAUCAUGACAUGAAAAUUACAAUCAGGCUUGUAAUUGCAUGAGGAUUUUUAAAAAGGGACAGUGAAUAUGAUUCGGGCAUAGAGGAGGUUGCGUUGGUGAUUGCCCCUGGCUCAGUGUGACAAUAUGGAGCAUGCCAACGAGCCAUUUGAGGACCCUGAAAAUGGACACAAUCCAGAGGCUAACAAAUGGGGCCUUUGUGUUCCUAAGCAUAUGGUAAGUGAAUGCUGAGAAAAUGGCAGAGCCUAAGCCACCACCAGCAGUGGCGUAUACCGAGAACCAGCCUGAGACCCCUCUUCUAGUUGGGGAUUGGCUAAGUUUAAGUGUUGGUCCAGUGUAGCCGCGAGCCAUAAGACCAAGAUGGCGAGUGUGGGAGGCUGAAGCAACAAUGUAUAAUGCAACAAUAGCUGCAAUAUAAAAUGGGAAGAUGCAUGGGGUUUUAAUGAAGCCAACAUGGAGACAAAAGAGGGAACCGAUGGCACUUGCAGCCCUAGCAAUGAGUUGUGGGUUGUAGCCAUGGUCAAGUUGCUUGGAGAUCAAGCCAAGGAAGGGACUAGCCAGAAUUAGGCCUAUAGCCCAUGAAAUUGAAGUCCAUUCCAUUGCUGAUAGAUUCAGAUUAUUCGUUGAUAUUGAUGUGUGUGUUAGUCAAUCAUACCUCCAAUAUAUGAAAAAUAUUUCAUCAUGCUAAAUAUGGACACAUUCAAAACUGACCCUCUGUCUAGUUUAACUGGCCAUGAAUGCGCUUUAUACCCGCGGUCACUCAAGUUUAAGUAAUAAUAAAUCAAGAGUAAGAGUUAAUGAAUUAAUUAAAGGAGAAUGAAUGAAACUUUAUUCCCACUAAGGUCUAAGAAGUUGUUUUUGUUCUUUGGGUUCCGAUAAAUUUUUAAUAGCAUAAUCUGUAAAUCUCUCAAUAUAAUCAUUUUGUAUAUGAAAAUUUCACAUUCACUUAAACAAUAUUUUUUUCUUGUCAAUAUUUUGAGCCAAAUGGUAAUUAAGAGUGAGAAAUUCAUUCUCCCAUAAUAAAAUUAAUAUGCAUAAUUGCAUCUUUUACGUUUUUUACUCUUUAACAGUCUUGGAAUCAAUUCGAUCUUUAAUCCAAUUUUUUGUGAAAAUUACACUCAUGUGCUUUGUAUAUAUAGAAUUUUGAUUGAAUAUUCUACUAAGUAACAAUCGAUGUAGCUAGAAAAAGAACUUACAGUUUGAUCUCUCCGAGAAUACAAGCAAUGCCCCUAGGGGUUUGUCGCCAACCUUGAUCAUCAUCAUCAUCAUCAUCAUUUUUAGAGACAAUUUCACUGAUGAUGAGAGGAAAAACAACGGGCACAACCGUUGUAACAAUGAAGUGUCCAAAUUUCAAGCUUCGAUGGCUUUUCUCGCAGCCCUGAGUAGGCCAUAUAAGCUCCCUCGGACCUCUCAAUUUUCAUUGCAGCAUCGUGUGCCUCAGGCAUGUCUUCAUUCACUUUCUGAUCCUCUACUGAUACCGAUAUUCCUUCAUCAUCACUUAGAACCUCAUGUUUUCUUUCUGCUGCCACCGCUGCUGCCAUAUUCACAUAUUAGUACCAAUUUGGAGGUUGCUUUGUGAAGUUAAAAAAAGGAGCUGAAUUGGCCAGACAUAUAUGUGUAAGUCUCAUUCUUUUUAACUUAUUUGUCUUCUCUCUUUAACGGCAAUGCCAAUUUUAGCAUCGCAUUCUGCUACAACUCAUGCUGAUCAAAGUGUUUCAUAUGAUUUCAAUUUUCCUCAUCACUUCUUUUGCACAGCAAUGAUCGAAUUCCCAGUGUAGAUUCCUUCAUCUGGAGCAAGGCGUUCUGAGCAGUGCUGCAAACAUCCAAGAUCAUAAAAGAUCCAUUUAACAGCUCAUCAACCCAUUUCUUCUUCUGGUGGCCGUUGGCUAAAGCUUGUUGAACGAGGGGCAAUUGAAGUGUUUUUUUUUUUCAACAGAAUCGCAUGAAUCUUGAAGGCAAUUUAAUUCAUGGCCUAAUGAUGAAGUAGAAACAGCUUGAGAAGUCCUUAAUCUUUACAAAUGCUCUUCAACUUCUGAAGUCUUUGAGUGCGAUCUUGUGGAAAGCUGUUUGAGCGAGUAUGGUAAGAGGCAGCCAUUGCUUUUUUUACUUUGAAUUAGAAGGUUAGAAGUUGAUUACCUUGUGCUCAAAUCUCAAUAUAUAUUGCACGAGAUGAGGGAACAAGAGGUAUGUCAUCCUCUUAAAAUAAAAAGAAACGAUAACAUGAUUUCGAGCCUGAUCUAAAUAUUGUAUCGGCUACUUUUAGGCUUAGUCUCCUCCCACACCAGCAUCCUAUCUCAGCUUUUUUAGCCACAAAUCUCACUAGUAUCUUCUCAUAAGCUAAUACUAAAUAAACAAAUGUUUCUGAGUGAUCCAUAAAAUAGGCAAUACAAGGAUGGCAUCAAUUCUGUUUCCUCUUCUAAAAUGCAAGAGACGCUAAUCCAGUUUGGCUUGGCUCCCCGCGGGAAAUAGGCAGAAUUGAUUUAUUUGAACUGGAUAUAAUAUGCAAAAUCUGCAGUGCAUGGGUAGUUAUGCCGCCAAAUUAAAGCAGGCCCAAAAAAGAUCUGCGCUGUUCAUUGCAGGCAUAUUUGGUGCCAAAUGAAUCGCUUGUUUCUUAAGAGACUGACUCCUCACACUAUAGUAACAACUAAUAACAUUCAUUGUCUGCAUUGAAAAAAAUUAACUGCAUAGGAAAACAAAUUAAAUUAAAACUCAGUUAAAUAAAAUAUUCCUAAACCCUAUAGACUUAAUUAAAAAAACUGAAAAAAAUGCAUGUUACAAUGGCCAAGGUAUCCUUCUAUAAUUGUCUACGAAGGUAGUAUUUUUUGAAUUAACCGCCCAUUACUGGGGAAUUAUGUGCCAGGGCGUUUGUCUUUACCCAUUCAAGGAAAUUCUGAAAUGUCUUGCGAGAGGAACCACCUUCUCUGAUGCUGCUCAUGGCUUUUUCCUUGAGUUCCAAAGCCCGUGCUUUAAAAUCUUGAUGACCAAGCACUUGAUCCACCUUGUUCUUAAUUUCUUCUCUUGUAAUGAUGCCACUUUCGUUUUUGUCAAACCUCAAUCCCACCUUCCAAAUAUCACAAAUGUAUUUCUCGUUCAGGAAUUGUUCAGCAAAAUAUGGCCAGCACAAGAAAGGAAUGCCAUUGCUAACACCUUCCAUGGUGGAAUUCCAACCACAAUGGCUCAGGAAACAGGCAAUAGAAGGAUGGUUAAGAACCUUCUGCUGAGGUGCCCAGCCGAUCAUCCGUCCUCGAGCAGAAACUCUCUCUUGGAAUCCGUCUGGGUAUCUAUCAUUUGCAUCAGUGGUAAUAUCUGGCCUUACAACCCAUAAAAAUGGUCUGUUGCAGAGUUCUAGUCCAAAUGCCAAUUCUUGAAACUGAACUUGGUCAAGAAUUGUAAAGCUGCCAAAAGCAGCAUAAAGGACAGAGCUCGGUUGCUGCUGGUCUAGCCACUCCAAACAGCUUGAGUCUUCGCGCCAGAAGUGUCCUGCUGAAUUCCCUAGACGGUUGCCAGCCAAAAGUGGUCCUAUUGGCAGAAGUUCCGGAACCACGGUGAAUGCCUCAGACUCGAGCUCAUACGUUGAGUGACACAACUGGAAAUUUACCGCUCUCAUUGCUCUCAUGUUUCUAUCCAGUAAAUCAAAAAUAAUCUUUUGCGUGUUCAAGUCACCAAUAUUUGUCCAAAAACAGUCUCCAGAGUUCAUUUCAGGCAUAUUUGGUGCAAUCCGAAACAUCUGCUUGCUCAUAGGAGUUCCUGAAGUUGAAUACAAACAAAAAAAAUUGCAAUAGCAUAAAAAAAAACUACUACUUUGACAUGCAUCAAAAUUAAAGCCUGCUGGAGGAAAGUCAGGAAUUAAAUGACAUAGAAUCAUACCAUUACUGUCAAUGAUUCCAUCAUCAAUAAGUUUGGGGAUAUGAAAUAGCAAGGCCACUGAUGCUGCUGAUGAAGGCCAAAAGAGAGCCCCCCUGACGUUCAUCUUUUUUGCUACUUCCAUAGACCAAGCCAUGUACCCAUCUGCAAUGAAACAAUCAAGUUUUUCAUCUUCUCUACUGUUGAUAUCUUCUAUGAGCUCCUCCAGCUUCCCCGGCAUAACCUGUAAAACUUUUUCAAAUAGCUUUCCGAAAUCGUUUCUAUCUUCCCAGGGUUCCAUUCCAUCUGGGAUCGAAACCAAACGGAUUUGCUCCCCAAGAUCAUUCUUUCCCUCCAAUGAUUCCAUUAUCCGCUUGUGAUCGUAAUCCGUGUUAACAAAUGUGACUCGGAAGCCCUGUUUCGCCAGACAUUGUGAAAACUCCAGUAAAGGAAUCACAUGGCCUUGCGCUGGAAUAGGCAAUACCAAAACAUGUGGACGGUUCAUUUUCUUUUUUAUUUUUACCUCGCUGAUUUGAUUGUUAUGAACUUGGUGCUUUUAUGGGGAUUGGGAGGGGCAGCUCAGUAGCCCAUGCUGGCUUUUCUGUCUUUCUUUCCGUACAUGUCGUGUAUCAUACGUUUUUAAUUUUGAACCUCAAGCUGGUUAUCUUCUUAUCUCCCGUUUUUAAGUUCUUUGUCCAUCUCUUUGUUUUGUUUCCUUCUGCGGUUUGGGUGAUAUGCUUGUUAAUAAAAUUCGUUUAUUAAAUAGCUUAUAAAUAAAUAGAAUAAUAAAUUAUCUUUUUAAUAGAAUUACUUUUUUGCCAUUAAAAUUCAAAAAAUUUUGUUUAAACAUUUUUAAGGUGUAAGGUUAGUUUUGUAAUUAUGAAAUGAUAAUAAGCCAAAAAUAUUAAUAAUAAUAAAGGUAAAGGCUUCAUCACUCAUCAGCCGACCCUUGCUCCACUCUUCAUUUUCCUACCUCCAUUGUUAUUUCUUUUACUUGAAUUUCAAGGACCUGUUUUUUCAUUCCCCAAACAAAAUGCCAAACGAAACACUCCCAAAAAUCAAAUUGUAAACGCAUAUUUAUUUAUUAAACGAGUGAAAUUUGAAUCUUGAGAUUAUAAUUCGUCUAAUAAACAAAUCAAAUCUAAAUUUAUUAAAUUUUGAUUUGAAUUCUAUUAAACAAUUCAUUUUGCUAUCUCUAGAGUUGAUACGCUUUAUGACCUUUGACCGCGCUAAUGAGCUAUGUUUAGAUAAUUUUUUUUAUUGACUACCCAAAUUAAAAUAUUAGAAAAGUUAUAUUAUUAUAAUUUUAUUUUAUUUUUCAAUGCAAAGAUAUUUUUACAUAACUUCUUGUGUUCACAAAGCAUUUCAAGUGAAGGCUUCUAAAGAUUUUCAAAAGUCAAAAGAUGCAGUUUUCUUUUGCUGCUUUUGUCCGCCACGUGGGAAUUAUUGAUCUCAACGUUUUACAGUUUUCUAUUUAACCCCAAGAUUUAUUUAAAAUCUUUAUGAUAUUACAAAUAUAUUAUUAAAAUACAUAUGAUAAUUUAAAAUUUUAAUAUUAUUUUAAAUGUCAAAAGUAAUUUAAUAUUAUUAGUCUACUAGAUAGAUUAUAUUACUUAUAUUAAAUUUGUGUUAAUUACAAAUUUUUAAAGUCAAUUUUCUAAUUAUUCUAGUUAAAGGGUAUUAUGAGCCAAAAAAAAGAUUUUAAUAUCCCAUUUUUUUUAAAAUUUGGGAGUCUUUUUGAUCAAUUCUCCAAAUUUUAGAAGUGUAAGCGUUAUUUUUCCUUCGGUAAAAUCAAAAUUACAUUAAUUCAAAGCAAUGACCAAUAAAAGUGCAAAAGGCACACAAGAAGCUGCUUACAUUUAACUGAAUAUGGGUUAUACUUUCUCAACCAAAAGAGAAAAAAGGAACCAAGAAAAGAGGGUAAAAAUAAAAAAAUCAUACAUGCCUCAAUUAUUUACUUAUAUAGGAUAACCGAUUUGACUAAUUGCGAAAGUUCACUUGCAUUACUUAAGCAAUUUCUUCAUGAGCAUGUUCCUUUAUAAUAAUGCUAGUAUCUAAACCAGACACUGGGGAUCCCUUCUCACUCGCUUCAUGCAAAUGCCCAGCAGCCAUGUCUCCACCAACAUCACUGAUGUCCCCAAAAAUCACAAUAAGAAUCCCCGAUCGUGGCAGCCAAAAAUGAAACCCCAAAAGCAGUGCUCACAUUUCCACUGAUCGCUGAUGCCACAGCAAAGCCAGUACAAGUUCCUAGUGCUUUUACCCACGAGUGCCAUACAGAAAAAGCACCUUCUUUGCCAUGUGGUAACGGAAACCCAGAAGUUGCAUUCUCACAGCAUCUGCUUUGAUAACAUGUUGUAACGGAUGCAGUAGUGUCAUUGAAGAUGAUGGGAAUAUGAAGUAAAUUAUCCAGAAGUAGAGGAAAAGAAAAAAAAUAACCCCUCAGUGAAAAUGCACAUUGAUGAAAAUGAUGACAUGAAAAUUACAAUCAGGCUUGUAAUUGCAUGAGGAUUUUUAAAAAGGGACAGUGAAUAUGAUUCGGGCAUAGAGGAAGUUGCGUUGGUGAUUGCCCCUGGCUCAGUGCGACAAUAUGGAGCAUGCCAACGAGCCAUUUGAGGACCCUGAAAAUGGACACAACCCAGAGGCUAACAAAUGGGCCCUUUUUGUUCCUAAGCAUAUGGUAAGUGAAUGCUGAGAAAAUGGCAGCGCCUAAGCCACCAGCAGCAGUGGCGUAUACCGAGAACAAGCCAGAGGCCCCUCUUCUAGUUGGGGAUUGGCUAAGUUUAAGUGUUGGUCCAGUGUAGCCGCGAGCCAUAAGGCCAAGAUGGCGAGUGUGGGAGGCUGAAGCAACAAUGUAUAAUGCAACAAUAGCUGCAAUAUAAAAUGGGAAGAUGUAUGGGGUUUUAAUGAAGCCAACAGGGAGACAAAAGAGGGAACCGAUGGCAGUUGCAGCCCUAGCAAUGGUCAAGUUGCUUGGAGAUCAAGCCAAGGAAGGGACUAGCAAGAAUUAGGAAUAUAGCCCAUGAAAUUGAAGUCCAUUCCAUUGCUGAGAGAUUCAGAUUAUUCGUUGAUAUUGAUGUGUGUGUUAGUCAAUCAUACCUGCAAUAUAUGAAUAAUAUUUCAUCCUACUAAACAUGGACACAUGCAAAACUGACCCUCUGUCUAGUUUAACUGGCCAUCAAUGCGCUUUAUAUCCGCGGUCACUCAAGUUUAAGUAAUAAUUAAUAAAGAGCAAGAGUUUGGCUAAUGAAUUAAUUAAAGGAGAAUGAAUGAAACUUUAUUCUCACUAAGGUCUAAGAAGUUGUUUUGGUUCUUUGGGUUCGGAUAAAUUUUAAUAGCAUAAUCAGUAAAUCUCUUAGUAUAAUUAUUUUGUAUAUGAAAAUUUCACAUUUACCUUAAACAAUAUUUUUUUUCUUGUCAAUAUUUUGAGCCAAAUGGUAAUUAAGAGUGAGAAAUUCAUUCUCCCAUAAUAAAAUAAAUAUGCAUAAUUGCAUCUUUUACGUUUUUUACUCUUUUCGUGCUAAGAAUCUUGGAAUCAAUUCGAUCUUUAAUCCAAUUUUUUGUGUAAAUUACACUCAUGCGCUUUGUAUAUAUAGAAUUUUGAUUGAAUAAUCUACUAAGUAAUUAUAGAUGUAGCUAGAAAAAGAACUUACAGUUUGAUCUCUCUGAGAAUACAAGCAAUGCCCCUUGGGGUUUGUCUUCAACCUUGAUCAUCAUCAUCAUCAUCAUUUUUAGAGACAAUUUCACUGAUGAUGAGAGGAAAAACAACGGCACAACCGUUGUAACAAUGAAGUGUCCAAAUUUCAAGCUUCGAUGGCUUUUCUCGCAGCCCUGAGUAGGCCGUAGGCCAUAUAAGCUCCCUCGUGUGCCUCAGGCAUGUCUUCAUUCACUUUCUGAUCCUCUACUGAUACCGAUAUUCCUUCAUCAUCACUUAGAACCUCAUGUUUUCUUUCUGCUGCCACCGCUGCUGCCGGUGCUGCCAUAUUCACAUAUUAGUACCAAUUUGAAGGUUGUUUUGUGAAGUUAAAAAAAGGAGCUGAAUUGGCUGCUGCCAUAUUCAAAUUUGAACGGUGAUUAAUUAAUAUUUGCAUGGGCAGCUGGUGCCGACACUUUCAAGAAUUCAAUUUGCCCGACAUAUAUGUGUAAGCCUCGGUUUGUUCAUAUGUACGAAGGUAUUUCGGUAUCAUUCCUUUUAACUUAUUUGUCUUCUCUCUUUCAUAGCAAUGCCAAUUUUUGCAUCGCACUCUGCUACAGCUCAUGCCGAUCAACAUGUUUCAUGUGAUUUCAAUUUUCCUCAUCCUCUCUUUUGCAUAGAACUGAUCGAAUUCCUAGUGUAGAUUCCUUCAUCUGCAGCAAGGCGUUCUGACCAGUGCUGCAAACAUCCAAGAUCCAUGGGUUAAAGCUUGUUGAACGGGGGGCAAUUGAAGUAUUUUUUUCAACAGAAUCUCAUGAAUCUUGAAGGCAAUUUAAUUCAUGGCCUAAUGAUGAAGUAGAAGCAGCUUGAGAAGUGCUUAAUCUUCUCAAAUGCUCUUCAACUUCUGAAGUCUGUGGGUGCGAUCUUGUGGAAAGUUGUUUCAGCGAGUAUGGUAAGAGGCAGCCAUUGCUUUUGUUGCUGUGAAUUAGAAGACUAGAAGUUGAGAUUACCUUGUCCUCAAAUCUCAAUAUAUAUAGCACGAGAUGAGGAUACAAGAGGUAUCUCAUCCUCUUAAAAUAAAACGAAAGAAUAACAUGAUUUCGAGCUUGAUGUAAAUAUUAUAUCGGCUACUUUUAGGCUUAGUCUCCUCCCACACCAGCAUCCUAUCUCAGUAUUUUUAGCCGCAAAUCUCACUAGUAUCUACACAUAAGCUAAUACUAAAUAAACAAAUGUUUCUGAGUGAUCCAUAAAAUAGGCAAUCCUAUACAAGGAUCGCAGCAAUUCUGUUUCCUCUUCUAAAAUGCAAGAGACGCUAAUCCAGUUUGGCUUGCCUCCCUGUAGGAAACAGAGUGGCUGCUGUGAAACUCGUGUGUCCUUGCAGAAUUGAGGCUGCACCUUGAAUACAUGGAUGGGUAGUUAAGUCUCCAAAUUAAAGCACGCCCAGAAAAGAUCUGCAGUGUUCAUUGCAGGUAAAUUUGGUGCCAAAUGAAUCACUUGCUUCUUAAGAGACUGACUCCUCACACUAUAGUUACGACUAAUAACAUUCAUUGUCUGCUAUGAAAAAAAUUACGUAAAUAGGAAAACAAAUUAAAUUACAACUCAGUUAAAUAAAAUAUUCCUAAACACUAUAAACAUAAUAAAAAAACUUAAAAGACGAAGGUUGUAUUUUUUGAAUUAACCGCCCAUUACCGGGGAAUUAUGUGCCAGGGUGUUUCUUUACCCAUUCAAGGAAAUUCUGAAAUUUCUUGCGAGAGGAACCACCUUCUCUGAUGCAGUUCAUGGCUUUUCCCUUGAGUUUCAAAGCCCUUGUUUCAAAAUCUUGAUCACCGAGCACUUGCUCCACCUUGUUCUUAAUUUCUUCUCUUCCAAUGAUGCCAUUUUCGUUUUUGUCAAACCUCAAUCCCACCUUCCAAAUAUCACAAAUGUAUCUCUCGUUCAGGAAUUGUUCAGCAAAAUAUGGCCAGCACAAGAAAGGAAUGCCAUUGCUGACACCUUCCAUGGUGGAAUUCCAACCACAAUGGCUCAGGAAACAGGCAAUAGAAGGGUGGUUAAGAACCUUCUGCUGAGGUGCCCAGCCGAUCAUCCGUCCUCGAGCAGCAACUCUCUCUUGAAAUCCUUCUGGGUAUCUAUCAUUUGCAUCGGUGGUAAUAUCUGGCCUCACAACCCAUAAAAAUGGUCUGUUGCAAAAUUCUAGUCCCAAUGCUAAUUCUUGAAACUGAACUUGGUCAAGAAUUGUAAAGCUGCCAAAAGCAGCGUAAAUGACAGAGCUUGGUUGCUGUUGGUCUAGCCACUCCAAACAGCUUGAGUCUUCGCGCCAGAAGUGUCCUGUUGUAUUCCCUAGACGGUUGCUUGCCAAAAGUGGUCCUAUUGGCAGAAGUUCCGGAACCACGGUGAAUGCCCCAGCCUCGAGCUCAUACGUUGAGUGACACAACUGGAAUUUUACCGCUCUCAUGGCUUUUAAGUCUUUAUCCGCUAAAUCAAAAAGAAUUCUCUCCGUGGUCAAAUCACCCAUGUCUGUCCAAAAACAGUCUCCAGCGUUCAUUUCAGGCAUAUUUGGUGCAAUCCGAAACAUCUGCUUGCUCAUCGGAGUUCCUGAAGUUGAAUACAAAACAAAGAAAAUAACAGUAGCAUAAAGUAAACUUCUACUAUGACAUGCAUCAAAAUUAAAGUUUGCUGGAGGAAAGUAAGGAAUUAGAUGACAUGGAAUCAUACCA
RNAcentral lists this long non-coding RNA (23691 nucleotides) under Citrus sinensis (sweet orange). Its description in RNAcentral is "long non-coding RNA (CSIN_LNC001231)". Lineage: Eukaryota; Viridiplantae; Streptophyta; Magnoliopsida; Sapindales; Rutaceae. The record is from RNAcentral.